GUGGGGAAUCUUCCGCAAUGGACGAAAGUCUGACGGAGCAACGCCGCGUGAACGAUGACGGCCUUCGGGUUGUAAAGUUCUGUUAUACGGGACGAAUGGUACGACGGUCAAUACCCGUCGUAAGUGACGGUACCGUAAGAGAAAGCCACGGCUAACUACGUGCCAGCAGCCGCGGUAAUACGUAGGUGGCAAGCGUUGUCCGGAAUUAUUGGGCGUAAAGGGCGCGCAGGCGGCGUCGUAAGUCGGUCUUAAAAGUGCGGGGCUUAACCCCGUGAGGGGACCGAAACUGCGAUGCUAGAGUAUCGGAGAGGAAAGCGGAAUUCCUAGUGUAGCGGUGAAAUGCGUAGAUAUUAGGAGGAACACCAGUGGCGAAAGCGGCUUUCUGGACGACAACUGACGCUGAGGCGCGAAAGCCAGGGGAGCGAACGGGAUUAGAUACCCCAGUAGUCC
This 450-nucleotide ribosomal RNA is filed under the name uncultured bacterium. RNAcentral's name for it is "partial 16S ribosomal RNA". It matches the Rfam family "Bacterial small subunit ribosomal RNA", at positions 354 to 796 of the family's 1533-position model. The record is from RNAcentral.